Molecule: non-coding RNA, 75 nt
Organism: Myotis davidii
Lineage: Eukaryota; Metazoa; Chordata; Mammalia; Chiroptera; Vespertilionidae
Source: Rfam
UGUGGGUCUCAGGUGAUGCACCCUGGAAUUGGGCUCCCUCCUCUCUAGUUCCAUGUGGGUCACCUGAGAACCACA